RNAcentral lists this ribosomal RNA (274 nucleotides) under uncultured bacterium. RNAcentral's name for it is "partial 16S ribosomal RNA". It matches the Rfam family "Bacterial small subunit ribosomal RNA", at positions 523 to 796 of the family's 1533-position model. The record is from RNAcentral.
AUACAGAGGGUGCGAGCGUUAAUCGGAAUUACUGGGCGUAAAGAGUACGUAGGCGGUUGCUUAAGUCAGAUGUGAAAGCCCCGGGCUCAACCUGGGAACUGCAUUUGAAACUGAGUGACUAGAGUUUAAGAGAGGGGAGUAGAAUUCCGGGUGUAGCGGUGAAAUGCGUAGAGAUCCGGAGGAAUACCAGUGGCGAAGGCGGCUCCCUGGCUUAAAACUGACGCUGAGGUACGAAAGCGUGGGUAGCAAACAGGAUUAGAUACCCGAGUAGUCC